This 144-nucleotide ribosomal RNA is filed under the name uncultured fungus. Its description in RNAcentral is "partial small subunit ribosomal RNA". It matches the Rfam family "Eukaryotic small subunit ribosomal RNA", at positions 1296 to 1461 of the family's 1831-position model. The record is from RNAcentral. Lineage: Eukaryota; Fungi.
AGUUGGUGGAGUGAUUUGUCUGGUUAAUUCCGAUAACGAACGAGACCUUAACCUGCUUAAUAGCCAGGCCGGCUUUUGCUGGUCGCCGGCUUCUUAGAGGGACUGUCUGCGUCUAGCAGACGGAAGUUUGAGGCAAUAACAGGU